RNAcentral lists this long non-coding RNA (727 nucleotides) under Cricetulus griseus (Chinese hamster). Its description in RNAcentral is "lncRNA (ENSCGRG00015032924.1)". The record is from RNAcentral. Lineage: Eukaryota; Metazoa; Chordata; Mammalia; Rodentia; Cricetidae.
GAGACCCCAGUGCUGGAGGAGACUCAGUGUAGGUGGAGAUUCAAUGCAGGUGCAGACCUGCAGUGUGGGUGGAGACCCUAGUGAGGGACAGACUCAGUGCAGAUGCAAACUCAAUGCAGGUGCAGACAGAGCAGGUGGAGACCCCAGUGCAGGUGCAGACAGAGCAGGUGGAGACCUCAGGGCAGGUGCACACAGCAGGUGGAGACCUCAGGGCAGAUGCACACAGAGAGCAGGUGGAGACCUCAGGGCAGAUGCACACAGAGCAGGUGGAGACCUCAGGGCAGAUGCACACAGAGCAGGUGGAGACCUCAGGGCAGGUGCAGACAGAGCAGGUGGAGACCCCAGUGCAGGUGCAGACAGAGCAGGUGGAGCUCCCUCUUGCAUCUGAGUGCCCAGUCCUGCCUUUCUUUCUGUGCUGUCUUCUACUUAAGUUGCCUUCACCAUUGCAAAAUAAUCUGAAUAAUCCAGUCCCUGGUUGGGGACAUGGUGGCACACACCCUUAAAAUCUGAGCAUUGGGAAGCAGAGACAGGUAGAACUCUGAGUUCAAAGCCAGCUUGGUCUACACAAAUUCCAUGCCAGCCAGAGCUAUAAAUAGACACCCAGUCUCAACAAACAACUGAAAACAAUGCAGUCCCUACAACACCACUAAAUCUUUUCUCCUUUGCCCAUCAACGUAUUCCCCAUUCCUUAGACCUUAAGAGGACUGAAGAGUGCGUGUGCAUGUGU